Molecule: ribosomal RNA, 1416 nt
Filed under: Staphylococcus sp.
Lineage: Bacteria; Bacillati; Bacillota; Bacilli; Caryophanales; Staphylococcaceae
Description: bacterial SSU rRNA
Rfam family: Bacterial small subunit ribosomal RNA
Source: RNAcentral
UGCAGUCGAGCGAACAGAUGAGAAGCUUGCUUCUCUGAUGUUAGCGGCGGACGGGUGAGUAACACGUGGGUAACCUACCUAUAAGACUGGGAUAACUCCGGGAAACCGGGGCUAAUACCGGAUAAUAUUUUGAACCGCAUGGUUCAAUAGUGAAAGACGGUUUCGGCUGUCACUUAUAGAUGGACCCGCGCCGUAUUAGCUAGUUGGUAAGGUAAUGGCUUACCAAGGCGACGAUACGUAGCCGACCUGAGAGGGUGAUCGGCCACACUGGAACUGAGACACGGUCCAGACUCCUACGGGAGGCAGCAGUAGGGAAUCUUCCGCAAUGGGCGAAAGCCUGACGGAGCAACGCCGCGUGAGUGAUGAAGGUCUUCGGAUCGUAAAACUCUGUUGUUAGGGAAGAACAAAUUUGUUAGUAACUGAACAAGUCUUGACGGUACCUAACCAGAAAGCCACGGCUAACUACGUGCCAGCAGCCGCGGUAAUACGUAGGUGGCAAGCGUUAUCCGGAAUUAUUGGGCGUAAAGCGCGCGUAGGCGGUUUCUUAAGUCUGAUGUGAAAGCCCACGGCUCAACCGUGGAGGGUCAUUGGAAACUGGGAAACUUGAGUGCAGAAGAGGAGAGUGGAAUUCCAUGUGUAGCGGUGAAAUGCGCAGAGAUAUGGAGGAACACCAGUGGCGAAGGCGGCUCUCUGGUCUGUAACUGACGCUGAUGUGCGAAAGCGUGGGGAUCAAACAGGAUUAGAUACCCUGGUAGUCCACGCCGUAAACGAUGAGUGCUAAGUGUUAGGGGGUUUCCGCCCCUUAGUGCUGCAGCUAACGCAUUAAGCACUCCGCCUGGGGAGUACGACCGCAAGGUUGAAACUCAAAGGAAUUGACGGGGACCCGCACAAGCGGUGGAGCAUGUGGUUUAAUUCGAAGCAACGCGAAGAACCUUACCAAAUCUUGACAUCCUUUGACCGCUCUAGAGAUAGAGUCUUCCCCUUCGGGGGACAAAGUGACAGGUGGUGCAUGGUUGUCGUCAGCUCGUGUCGUGAGAUGUUGGGUUAAGUCCCGCAACGAGCGCAACCCUUAAGCUUAGUUGCCAUCAUUAAGUUGGGCACUCUAGGUUGACUGCCGGUGACAAACCGGAGGAAGGUGGGGAUGACGUCAAAUCAUCAUGCCCCUUAUGAUUUGGGCUACACACGUGCUACAAUGGAUAAUACAAAGGGCAGCGAAUCCGCGAGGCCAAGCAAAUCCCAUAAAAUUAUUCUCAGUUCGGAUUGUAGUCUGCAACUCGACUACAUGAAGCUGGAAUCGCUAGUAAUCGUAGAUCAGCAUGCUACGGUGAAUACGUUCCCGGGUCUUGUACACACCGCCCGUCACACCACGAGAGUUUGUAACACCCGAAGCCGGUGGAGUAACCUUUUAGGAGCUAG